CUAGCUAUGGAUAACCCUUGAAAUUUCGUGCUAAUUAAGAAGAUGAUGAAUUUUGUGUUAUUUUUCCCUUUUUAUUUCAUUUAAUAUCCAAAUGACCAAAAUCCCUUCCUUAUUAAACUUUAAAAAAUUCCAUCCAUGUCCUAUUUUGUCUAUGAACUUAGAAAUUGGUCAAAUUGUUAUUUAAACCCUCCUAAUUAAUAUUCCAAAGCAAUUUCAUACUAAAAACUUCUAGAAUGCAAGUUUUGCAAAUUAUUCGAUUUAGUCCCUAAUCUCAACUUAAGCACUUUAUGCAUAGAAUUUCAACACGAAAUUUUCACACAAUCAUGCAUUCAUAUCAUGAACCUCAAAAUAAUAAUAAAAUAAAUUUUU
Molecule: long non-coding RNA, 369 nt
Filed under: Gossypium barbadense (sea-island cotton)
Lineage: Eukaryota; Viridiplantae; Streptophyta; Magnoliopsida; Malvales; Malvaceae
Description: long non-coding RNA (GBAR_LNC007393)
Source: RNAcentral